UUAAGUUCAGCGGGUAUCCCUACCUGAUCCGAGGUCAAAAGUUGAAAAAAAUGUGGUCUUGAUGGAUGCUCAACCAAGGCUGAUUCAAAGUGCAAGAAUUGUGCUGCGCUCCGAAACCAGUAGGUCGGCUGCCAAUCAUUUUAAGGCGAGUCUCGUGAGAGACAAAGACGCCCAACACCAAGCAAAGCUUGAGGGUACAA
RNAcentral lists this unclassified non-coding RNA (200 nucleotides) under Stemphylium sp. Its description in RNAcentral is "partial internal transcribed spacer 2". Lineage: Eukaryota; Fungi; Ascomycota; Dothideomycetes; Pleosporales; Pleosporaceae. The record is from RNAcentral.